This 342-nucleotide small RNA is filed under the name Histoplasma capsulatum var. duboisii H88. RNAcentral's name for it is "Histoplasma capsulatum H88 hypothetical RNA". The record is from RNAcentral. Lineage: Eukaryota; Fungi; Ascomycota; Eurotiomycetes; Onygenales; Ajellomycetaceae.
CCUGCAGCAGCGUCUUGCUCCCCAAACACCCAUUUAGCAUGCUCGGAAUAGGUUCCAGUCGUGGCAUUCGGAAGUCGAACGGGAGGAAUAUCUGACAAUUAUCGCCUGACCUGACGAUCUGCGGAAGCGAGAUCUCCCAUUCUCGUCUCCUUUACGCAGGUAUGCAUCCCUGCAUACAGCCGGCUCAAGGAGAACCAACUUAGCCACCAAAAGGAACCAAAAGAAAAGCUAGGCCACUCUGGCCAGACCAGCUGCGUCCGUUUCCGUUUCUCACCCACAGAAUACACCGGUCCACAUAAAACAAUUUUUUUGUUUCUUUUUGUAGCGCACUUUGAGAAGCUG